UUAUAUAGUGAAUUGACCUUUGAAAUCGGCAAAGUCUCCAUACUGUAUAAGAUUAAAUACCUCCUUAGGUAAGAGUCGAAUUUUAGCGUAAAUGUUUUCCUUCCCAAGUUGGUGACAGGC
Papilio machaon (common yellow swallowtail) is the source of this 120-nucleotide small nucleolar RNA. The record is from RefSeq and is a predicted model, not a curated record. NCBI's taxonomy places the organism in Eukaryota, Metazoa, Arthropoda, Insecta, Lepidoptera, Papilionidae.